GCCCUUAGAGUUUGAUCCUGGCUCAGAACGAACGCUGGCGGCAGGCCUAACACAUGCAAGUCGAGCGCGUCCUUCGGGGCGAGCGGCGGACGGGUGAGUAACGCGUGGGAACGUGCCCUUCGGUGCGGAAUAUACCAGGGAAACUUGGGGCAAUACCGCAUACGCCCUUCGGGGGAAAGAUUUAUUGCCGAGGGAUCGGCCCGCGUUGGAUUAGGUAGUUGGUGAGGUAACGGCUCACCAAGCCGACGAUCCAUAGCUGGUUUGAGAGGAUGAUCAGCCACACUGGGACUGAGACACGGCCCAGACUCCUACGGGAGGCAGCAGUGGGGAAUCUUGGACAAUGGGGGAAACCCUGAUCCAGCCAUGCCGCGUGAGCGAUGAAGGCCUUAGGGUUGUAAAGCUCUUUCGCCUGGGAAGAUAAUGACGGUACCAGGUAAAGAAGCCCCGGCUAACUCCGUGCCAGCAGCCGCGGUAAUACGGAGGGGGCUAGCGUUGUUCGGAAUUACUGGGCGUAAAGCGCGCGUAGGCGGACUGGAAAGUUGGGGGUGAAAUCCCGGGGCUCAACCCCGGAACUGCCUCCAAAACUGUCAGUCUUGAGGUCGAGAGAGGUGAGUGGAAU
This 619-nucleotide ribosomal RNA is filed under the name uncultured Alphaproteobacteria bacterium. RNAcentral describes it as "bacterial SSU rRNA". It matches the Rfam family "Bacterial small subunit ribosomal RNA", at positions 1 to 667 of the family's 1533-position model. Lineage: Bacteria; Pseudomonadati; Pseudomonadota; Alphaproteobacteria. The record is from RNAcentral.